UACGUAGGGUGCGAGCGUUGUCCGGAAUUAUUGGGCGUAAAGAGCUUGUAGGCGGUUUGUCGCGUCUGCUGUGAAAAUCCGAGGCUCAACCUCGGACUUGCAGUGGGUACGGGCAGACUAGAGUGUGGUAGGGGAGACUGGAAUUCCUGGUGUAGCGGUGGAAUGCGCAGAUAUCAGGAGGAACACCGAUGGCGAAGGCAGGUCUCUGGGCCAUUACUGACGCUGAGAAGCGAAAGCGUGGGGAGCGAACAGG
Molecule: ribosomal RNA, 253 nt
Filed under: uncultured bacterium
Lineage: Bacteria
Description: partial 16S ribosomal RNA
Rfam family: Bacterial small subunit ribosomal RNA
Source: RNAcentral